UCCGAUUUUUGCUCGGGAAGAUUUUAGCCCAUUUCGACUUUUGGGCUAGAUUUCUCGAAAAUCGUGAAUCCCACGAGAAAACCGAGGCCACCAGCAUGCUCCAUUCGUCGAGAGCUUCGCAACGACAUAAAUUUCGAAUUUUUCCGACACCGUUUUUCGGUAUCCUCGAUUCGCGGAAAUUCGACAGUUGACCGGGUCUGCAAAUUUCGGGCCAGACAAACCCGUUAUCGGAAAAGUCUCCGAAUUGGACCGAGGUUUUGGCUAGGCCCCCAUUGUCAGACGUCCCGAGCGCGUUCCUGAAGUCGGAAUCGGCAAAGGUGAGCCGGGACAGCCUUCUUCCUCCGCCCAGCCGCCUCAGUGACCAUCGUCAAGUCUG
This is a long non-coding RNA of Hevea brasiliensis (rubber tree), 376 nucleotides long. RefSeq lists it as uncharacterized. NCBI's taxonomy places the organism in Eukaryota, Viridiplantae, Streptophyta, Magnoliopsida, Malpighiales, Euphorbiaceae. The record is from RefSeq and is a predicted model, not a curated record. The transcript is spliced from 3 exons.